This 466-nucleotide ribosomal RNA is filed under the name uncultured bacterium. Its description in RNAcentral is "partial 16S ribosomal RNA". It matches the Rfam family "Bacterial small subunit ribosomal RNA", at positions 28 to 507 of the family's 1533-position model. The record is from RNAcentral.
GAUGAACGCUGGCGGCGUGCUUAACACAUGCAAGUCGAACGAUGAAGCCCAGCUUGCUGGGUGGAUUAGUGGCGAACGGGUGAGUAACACGUGAGUAACCUGCCCUUAACUCUGGGAUAAGCCUGGGAAACUGGGUCUAAUACCGGAUAGGAGCGUCCACCGCAUGGUGGGUGUUGGAAAGAUUUAUCGGUUUUGGAUGGGCUCGCGGCCUAUCAGCUUGUUGGUGAGGUAAUGGCUCACCAAGGCGACGACGGGUAGCCGGCCUGAGAGGGUGACCGGCCACACUGGGACUGAGACACGGCCCAGACUCCUACGGGAGGCAGCAGUGGGGAAUAUUGCACAAUGGGCGCAAGCCUGAUGCAGCGACGCCGCGUGAGGGAUGACGGCCUUCGGGUUGUAAACCUCUUUCAGUAGGGAAGAAGCGAAAGCGACGGUACCUGCAGAAGAAGCACCGGCUAACUACGUG